Long non-coding RNA from Haliotis rubra (blacklip abalone), 2713 nucleotides. RefSeq lists it as uncharacterized. Lineage: Eukaryota; Metazoa; Mollusca; Gastropoda; Lepetellida; Haliotidae. The record is from RefSeq and is a predicted model, not a curated record. The transcript is spliced from 2 exons.
CAUUGCCAUCUCACAAAGACUUGCUACAAACACAGUGCUAUAGAUCACCCAAUAUCUGUUAUACUACAGAUCAUGUUACAUAUGACAUAGUGUUGUAAUAGACUUAUCUCACACCUUGUUGUGCUACAGGCUACAGAUCGGUCAUCUAUCACACAUGUGCUGCAGGUCUUGUGCUCUGUAUCACACACUGUCAUGCUACUAGUAGUGAUAUAUAUCACACACUGUCAUGCUACUUGUAGUGAUAUAUAUCACACACUGUCAUGCUACUAGUAGUGAUAUAUAUCACACACUGUCAUGCUACUAGUAGUGAUAUAUAUCACACCUUGCUAUGCUACAUAGUAGUUAUAUAUAACACCCUGUUAUGCUCCUGAUCAUGUGCUAGAUAUCACAAUUGUUGUCCUACAGAUUGUGUUAUAUAUCACUCUGUUGCUGCAAGCCUGCUGUUAUAUGUCAGAAACUGUCUUGUCACAGAUCAUGUGCUGUAUAUCCCACCACGUUACAGAACAUGUGAUGUAUUACACUCUGUUGUGCCACAUAUCAUGUGUUAUGUAUCACACACUGGCAUGUUACAGAUUGUGUGCUGUAUAUCCACCACGCUACAGCACAUGUGAUGUAUUACACUCUGUUGUGCCACAUAUCAUGUGUUAUGUAUCACACACUUGCAUGUUACAGAUUGUGUGCUGUAUAUCCCUGCGUUACAGCACAUGUGAUGUAUUACACUGUUGUGCCACAUAUCAUGUGUUAUGUAUCACACACUUGCAUGUUACAGAUCAUGUGCUGUAUAUCCCACCACGUUACAGAACAUGUGAUGUAUUACACUCUGUUGUGCCACAUAUCAUGUGUUAUGUAUCACACACUGGCAUGUUACAGAUUGUGUGCUCUAUAUAACACAUUUGCUCCUAACUUGGUGUUUUAUGUCACAUGCAGAUUUGCUGCAGAUCUUGUGUUAUAUAUCGUACAUAGAUUUGAUACAGGGCAUGUUAUCACGACAGUUACAAAUCAUGAUAUUUCUUCAGCAGAUUUCCUAAAGAUUAUGUGUUAUAUAUCACUCAGACUUGCUACAGAUCAUGUGUUAAUCUGUUUUUCUGUUCUUCCCUGAUCUGUUGACAUGGAGUACAAGAGAACUACCUUAUGUAAGAUGUCUUUCAAGUUCAUUUAUGGCAAUACAUACCCACAAGCUUCCCCAUUAGUGCCAGAUUGUCCUGGCCUUGUUAGAUUGAUGAAACAAGUGAGGUGGUCAUGGACCAAUCAGUGAUCUUUUUUCAAGAACUGUCAGGUUUUUUAAAUGAAUGAGAAGUUAUAAGACUUUGUGACUGACAUGUCAGUUUUUGGAUGUGAACAUAGUUGCUGGCUAUAGUCAAACUCAACCUGCUGUCUUAUUUCAUUAUGUACUGAUUCUACAGUUUCUUUGUGUCAAGGUUUGGUAUUAGUGUUGACAUAAUAUGUGUGAUAUUCCUCCGUAUUGUGGAAACAUCCUAGAGUAAUUCUCCUACUCCACCUCUUGAGCUUUGGUCAGUCUAGGAUUGGGUUUAUCUCUUUUUUUCUUCCUCAACUUUUAUCAAGAUGUUUUCAUUUAUUGUUCACAAGUGCCAUUCAUAUUGUUUAUGUAUGUAGAUGUUAGAUGUUGUUCUGUGUAUCAGAUAUGUUGUUCUGUGUAACAGAUAUGUUGUUUAGUUCCCUGUUAUUACUGGCUUCGUUGUCUUCAGCUCCGUUGUUGUAUGUAUGUGAGAGGAAUCUCGACUGACCCCACCCCCUGUAACCAUGUCAGCUUGACGUACCCUUGUGUCAGUCAAGGAUGCAGCUUCUCAUGGUCAAUACAGUCAUUACUGGGCUGGACUGCGGUCGCUACUGGAGAUUUACCAUUUGAAUUAGAUGACAGUGGGACUUUUUUACUUUAAGCAGUAUUAACAUCCCUCUUAAAGGGUGUUGUCUGUCAAUCCUUUUGAGAUAUACUUUGAGUAACUGAGACAUGAGAAAUGUUGUUCCAUGUGAGAUUAUCUUUAUUUUGCCACAAGGCAGAUAAACUUGUACAACAGAAAUGGUCCAUUUUCUCAGAUGAAAGCUGUUGUCUGUAAUUCCGUGAAAGCUAUGUCCUUGUACGCUUGUUCCCUCCACUAGAGCUCAUGGCAUGUCCAUAUUGAAGCUACAAACCAAAUGGCAACAUCACUGCCUAACUCAUGCACUAAGUGGCCAUCAGUCUUCACUUCAGGACGCUUCAGAGCACUUCCUGCUCCAGUCUUGUGUGCACAGGCUUUAUGAAAUCAGUGUCCCAUAUUUGUAGUAUUUUGUGUUGAGCAAAUCCAGGUAGGAAGAUGUUUCAUGUUGCCGAGGGAGUACAAUUAAUAUCAAUCAGCAAUGGUAGAGGAGGUUGGUUCUCACACAUGAACUGACUGUCUUGGUUGUUCCCCGCAUCAUCUGCAUCCACUGCAUCCACAUGUGGAUGUUGUACUGAUGCAGGGAUGCCGACCACCAAGCUGGUCGUACCAUGGAGUGUGUACUGGGACUAGAUAGAAGAUAGUUUGAUGGGUCUUGUACAGUCAUUUGUAUCUACAUGUUAGCUAAUGCAAGGUGCUCAUCCAGAAAUUCCAUCCCAUAAACUUAUUUAUCUAUCAUUUCUUCAUAAUGAGUUGACAGACUAUCUGCCAUCAUUGUACAUUAUGUACAUAGAAAUUGUAUGUAGCCAAUAUCUUUUGUAUAAAAUAUAUACAAUAUC